Non-coding RNA from Fusarium poae, 328 nucleotides. The record is from Rfam. Lineage: Eukaryota; Fungi; Ascomycota; Sordariomycetes; Hypocreales; Nectriaceae.
CCAUUCCAUUUCUGAUCACCUGAAAAAAAGGACUUAGGGAAUCCUUAUCAACAUACGUUGGGUGUAAACUACCAAAUUCCAGGGAACCCCUAAAGCUUCUGGUACUAAGCCAUACAUGAAAAUGUAUGAGUGGCUGAAUUAACUACUCAGGUAUAGUAACAAGCCAGAAGAUGAGUGAAAACAAAAUGGGCGAUUGUGGAUCUAAGUCAGUAAUACAUGAAACCAAACAGUCAUGUAUUAUUGUAAAAGAGCAACGAGUAAAUGGUAGUUGAUGCGGUAUUAAUAUACCGCAUUUAAGAUGUACUCUACUGGGCUUCGUAAGAAGUUA